UGGGGAAUAUUGCACAAUGGGCGAAAGCCUGAUGCAGCAACGCCGCGUGAGUGAUGAAGGUCUUCAGAUUGUAAAGCUCUGUCUUUUGGGACGAUAAUGACGGUACCAAAGGAGGAAGCCACGGCUAACUACGUGCCAGCAGCCGCGGUAAUACGUAGGUGGCGAGCGUUGUCCGGAUUUACUGGGCGUAAAGGGUGCGUAGGCGGAUGUUUAAGUGAGAUGUGAAAUACCCGGGCUUAACUUGGGUGCUGCAUUUCAAACUGGAUAUCUAGAGUGCAGGAGAGGAGAAUGGAAUUCCUAGUGUAGCGGUGAAAUGCGUAGAGAUUAGGAAGAACACCAGUGGCGAAGGCGAUUCUCUGGACUGUAACUGACGCUGAGGCACGAAAGCGUGGGUAGCAAACAGGAUUAGAUACCCUGGUAGUCCACGCCGUAAACGAUGAGUACUAGGUGUAGGAGGUAUCGACCCCUUCUGUGCCGCAGUAA
Molecule: ribosomal RNA, 483 nt
Filed under: uncultured bacterium
Lineage: Bacteria
Description: partial 16S ribosomal RNA
Rfam family: Bacterial small subunit ribosomal RNA
Source: RNAcentral